GACAGAGGGUGCAAACGUUGUUCGGAAUUACUGGGCGUAAAGCGCGUGUAGGCGGCUAUGCAAGUCGGAUGUGAAAGCCCUCGGCUCAACCGGGGAAGUGCACCCGAAACUGCAAAGCUAGAGUCUCGGAGAGGAUCGUGGAAUUCUCGGUGUAGAGGUGAAAUUCGUAGAUAUCUGGAGGAACACCGGUGGCGAAGGCGGCAUCCUGGACCGGUAUUGACGCUGAGGCGCGAAAGCUAGGGGAGCAAACGGG
RNAcentral lists this ribosomal RNA (253 nucleotides) under uncultured bacterium. RNAcentral describes it as "partial 16S ribosomal RNA". It matches the Rfam family "Bacterial small subunit ribosomal RNA", at positions 524 to 776 of the family's 1533-position model. The record is from RNAcentral.